This is a long non-coding RNA of Apis dorsata (giant honeybee), 1248 nucleotides long. RefSeq lists it as uncharacterized. The record is from RefSeq and is a predicted model, not a curated record. The transcript has 2 exons. NCBI's taxonomy places the organism in Eukaryota, Metazoa, Arthropoda, Insecta, Hymenoptera, Apidae.
GUCUGAAUAGCAAAUAAUAGUAUACUGAGAUGGGUUAAAAAUUCCGAUGCCUGCAUCGUAACACUUAGGAGGAAUAAUAAAUUCGUCUUGACUAUUCGUGCGUAAAGUUAAUCCAGCAGGUUUCAAUCCAUAUUUAUGACACAGAUAAAAUGAUGAUUUAACUUUCAGUAUUUCAAUUUUAAAAUUAUUUUUAAAAGUACAAUGUAUUUACUAACCGUCUAUCAGGAAAUUUGCAAUACUUCCAAUCAGUUUCAAGAAAAUUUAAUCCAUCGUUAAAAACGUAUUGCUUGUCUCUACAUUCACCUUGUAUCCAAAUUCCAUCCAUUCUUUGCCCACGAGGCCAAUAUAGACUACCAUAGCCAUGAAACAUAUUAUCGCGAAAUUCUCCUUCAAAGAUAGCAUCUAUUACAGUAAUAAUUUCAUUAUUAUUAUUACAAUAAAUAGAUUCGGGUCAUUUAACGAAACGAAGAAGAUCAGAAGAAAGAGAUCAAAAGAUUUAGCGAUAGAAAAAAAUAAAUGGAAGAAAAAAAGUGCGUGUGUGCGUAUGCAUAUUUAUAAAAUUUAUAAUAUAGUGAAUGCAUGUAAGACUAAGAUAUUUGAGCUAUAGGUAAAUGAAAAACAUAUACGAACUCUAGAACAUGAAGCGACGAAAAUGGUCGCAUAACGGUACGCGUCGACUUACGCGCGAGAAAUGCUCAAUGUUGUACUCAAAAACCAGUAUAUAUGCUAUACAUAUGUACAUAUCUUAGACACAAUUAUUGGCGUUAACGUGUACAUUUUACAAAAUGUAAUUUCAAGUUUUAAAAGAUUUAACAUUCAUUGUAUUUCAAUUAUGAAUAUUUUUCUAUCAUAUUUUUUUUAUUUACAAUUCACUUAUCUCUUGUUUCUUAUUAUAAUUAUUUUGUAUUUUUAUAUUGCUUUUUUCUCCUCCUUUUUUCAAACAAUUCAAGCAAGGUGUAAAGAAAUACGCAUUCGAGAUUAUUCUGUAACAUUUCUGUAACAUCUUGAUAAAGAGUAAUAUAUACUAACUGUGCGGCAUGAUGAAUUUACCGACUCCUUCCAUGCCAAAUGUGGUCCAAGUACCCUUAUAUUCGCUUCCAUCGAUAAAACACGAUUCUUCUAAGUUGUUGAAUCUUGCGUACAUGUUGUAUCUUUAAGUUUAACAUUUUUAUUGAUCAUAUGAUCAUUCCAAAUUAUUUAUCAAAUAAUAUAAUAUUAAUAUAAAUAGAAAUACUAAAAAAAAAAAAA